UCAGCGGUGACGAUGAUGACGGUAGCCACAGAAGAAGCCCCGGCUAACUCCGUGCCAGCAGCCGCGGUAAUACGGAGGGGGCAAGCGUUGUUCGGAAUUACUGGGCGUAAAGGGCGCGUAGGCGGCCUGUGCAAGUUAGAGGUGAAAGCCCCGGGCUCAACCUGGGAAUUGCCUUUAAAACUGCUGGGCUUGAGUCCGGAAGAGGAUGGCGGAAUUCCCAGUGUAGAGGUGAAAUUCGUAGAUAUUGGGAAGAACACCAGUGGCGAAGGCGGCCAUCUGGUCCGGAACUGACGCUGAGGCGCGAAAGCGUGGGGAGCAAACAGGAUUAGAUACCCUGGUAGUCCACGCCGUAAACGAUGUGCGCUAGCCGUCGGGGCACUUAGUGUUUCGGUGGCGCAGCUAACGCGUU
This 409-nucleotide ribosomal RNA is filed under the name uncultured Alphaproteobacteria bacterium. Its description in RNAcentral is "bacterial SSU rRNA". It matches the Rfam family "Bacterial small subunit ribosomal RNA", at positions 454 to 861 of the family's 1533-position model. The record is from RNAcentral. Lineage: Bacteria; Pseudomonadati; Pseudomonadota; Alphaproteobacteria.